Molecule: ribosomal RNA, 504 nt
Filed under: uncultured bacterium
Lineage: Bacteria
Description: bacterial SSU rRNA
Rfam family: Bacterial small subunit ribosomal RNA
Source: RNAcentral
AGAGUUUGAUCAUGGCUCAGAUUGAACGCUGGCGGCAUGCGUAACACAUGCAAGUCGAACGGUGUUUGGUGCUUGCACCAGACAUAGUGGCGGACGGGUGAGUAAUGCGUAGGAAUCUGUCUUAGAGAGGGGGACAACCCGAGGAAACUUGGGCUAAAACCGCAUAUUCUCGAGAGAGGAAAGCAGGGGACCGGAAACGGCCUUGUGCUCUAAGGUGAGCCUACGUCGGAUUAGCUAGUUGGUAGGGUAAAAGCCUACCAAGGCGAUGAUCUGUAGCUGGUCUGAGAGGACGGACAGCCACACUGGGACUGAGACACGGCCCAGACUCCUACGGGAGGCAGCAGUGGGGAAUAUUGGACAAUGGGGGGAACCCUGAUCCAGCGAUGCCGCGUGUGUGAAGAAGGCCUGCGGGUUGUAAAGCACUUUCAGUGGGAAAGAGAAGCGUCUUGUGAAUAAUGGGACGUGGAGACGUUACUCACAGAAGAAGCACCGGCUAACUCUGCG